UAAUUUGAAUGGCUUUCUAGCCCUGGCAAGAAAGAAGAGGAAGACUGACUGGAUGUCGGAACACAUCAACGCAGAUACUAACUUGUCAAAUGUUAGAUCAGAUGGGCAUAAACUGGUUAAGUGACUCAUCCAAGAUCAUAUAGUCAGAAGCAAAGUCAGGAACAGAGACCAAGGAUGGUCAUCAUCCAAGGAGAAAGGCGCUGCUGCUGGUACAUCACUCCACAAGCAGACAUGAUUCUGAUGUCAUCUUGUGACUCGACCAUCACUUAAACAGACUUUAAAAGACAAGGGUGGAGAUUGCUCUAGGAUUGUGCAUGGAAUACACAUUGGCUGAUACAGGCACAUCCACUGCCCCCAAGGGGUUAUAGCCUAAAUAAGACUGGACAAACACAAACUCUAGAGAAAGCACAGGACAACCAUCCGGGAGAAGGAGGAUUUAUGAUAAGAACAAG
Mauremys mutica (yellowpond turtle) is the source of this 452-nucleotide long non-coding RNA. RefSeq lists it as uncharacterized. The record is from RefSeq and is a predicted model, not a curated record. The transcript is spliced from 4 exons. Lineage: Eukaryota; Metazoa; Chordata; Testudines; Geoemydidae.